This is a long non-coding RNA of Mobula hypostoma (lesser devil ray), 677 nucleotides long. RefSeq lists it as uncharacterized. Lineage: Eukaryota; Metazoa; Chordata; Chondrichthyes; Myliobatiformes; Myliobatidae. The transcript is spliced from 3 exons. The record is from RefSeq and is a predicted model, not a curated record.
AUUCUGAGUUGACUUCUCUACAAAUUUUUUCAGCUGAAUGUAACUCCAGUGCAAUUGGUCCACUUCUGCCUUGUGUCGGGCUCGCAUUUCAUUUAACUCUCUCAGUAAGUGUUCGUUUGUGCAUACCAGGGCUCUGGAAUUAAGACAGCAAUUAAUCUCAACAAUGCUGAAAAUUCAGAUGUUACAGAACUCUUGGUAGCUUGCAUCUUUACAACAGCUAUCCACAAUUUUGUUGUCAAGAAAGGAUCAGAUCCAGGACAUCAGGGAAUGGAUUUUUCGGGUAUGUGACCAUCAGGAGACAGGUAUUCCAGUUGGAGGCCGGAAGGUGGAUAACAUCAGUUGUGCAACAGGAUCUACUGAGAAAGCAAGCAAGGCCUCAAAUUUAAAAGCUCAGCUACAAGAAUCACUAAUGACUUGGUGUUAGCCUGCUGGUCCAAUGGCUGAAAUGAGAUGGAAACCUAGGAUCAUCUGUUAUGAAUAAAGCUACCACCAUGAAGCUCUACUUGUAAAGGAAUAAAUGGUGUUAUUAUAACCUUUGAUCAAUAGGGUACUUACCUAACCUUCUAAGAUUGGGUAGCAGGUGCACAACAAAAAGCCGAUAGUCUGAUUCAUUUUUGGACACAGGAUUCAGUCUCAAGUCAAGCUCUUUCAAAUUAGUCAGGUUAUGAAGCAGGAAU